RNAcentral lists this ribosomal RNA (468 nucleotides) under uncultured bacterium. RNAcentral's name for it is "partial 16S ribosomal RNA". It matches the Rfam family "Bacterial small subunit ribosomal RNA", at positions 28 to 507 of the family's 1533-position model. The record is from RNAcentral.
GACGAACGCUGGCGGCGUGCUUAACACAUGCAAGUCGAACGGAAAGGCCCUGCUUUUGUGGGGUGCUCGAGUGGCGAACGGGUGAGUAACACGUGAGUAACCUGCCCUUGACUUUGGGAUAACUUCAGGAAACUGGGGCUAAUACCGGAUAGGAGCUCCUGCUGCAUGGUGGGGGUUGGAAAGUUUCGGCGGUUGGGGCUGGACUCGCGGCUUAUCAGCUUGUUGGUGGGGUAGUGGCUUACCAAGGCUUUGACGGGUAGCCGGCCUGAGAGGGUUAACGGCCACAUUGGGACUGAGAUACGGCCCAGACUCCAACGGGAGGCAGCAGUGGGGAAUAUUGCAAAAUGGGAGGAAGCCUGAUGCAGCAACGCCGCGUGCGGGAUGACGGCCUUCGGGUUGUAAACCGAUUUCGACUGUGACGAAGCGUGAGUGACGGUAAUGGGUAAAGAAGCACCGGCUAACUACGUG